GAGAGCUAAAUGAAUUGAAAGGUUCAUGUUUGGUUCGGGAAGAGAACAUGGAAUUUUUGAAAUAAAAAAAUGAAUGGAAAGAUAUUCGAAUUUUAU
This is a non-coding RNA of Gossypium raimondii (Peruvian cotton), 96 nucleotides long. The record is from Rfam. Lineage: Eukaryota; Viridiplantae; Streptophyta; Magnoliopsida; Malvales; Malvaceae.